GAAAAUUACGCCACGGAAACGACAUGCUACCAGUAACGAUUAUUACUGUGAAAUCCUCAGGCUUGCCGUAUUUUUGUUUGUUUGUUUGUUUAUUUGUUUUGACUGAGAAAUUUCCUUGCGUCCCAAAAACGCACAUUAUUUGGAACCGUGCGUCCCGUGGGAAAAUUAUGCGUCUAGGACGCGGGACGCAGAGGUAACGAGAUGGCUGAAUCUCUAAACAUUCUCUGAGUC
This is a long non-coding RNA of Hippocampus zosterae (dwarf seahorse), 231 nucleotides long. RefSeq lists it as uncharacterized. The record is from RefSeq and is a predicted model, not a curated record. The transcript is spliced from 2 exons. NCBI's taxonomy places the organism in Eukaryota, Metazoa, Chordata, Actinopteri, Syngnathiformes, Syngnathidae.